UAAAGUGUAAUAAAGUUUUAUUUACAAUAAAAAUCACCUUAAAAAUAAGGCACUUUAA
Molecule: transfer RNA, 58 nt
Filed under: Acerella muscorum
Lineage: Eukaryota; Metazoa; Arthropoda; Protura; Acerentomata; Acerentomidae
Description: tRNA-Val
Source: RNAcentral